Molecule: ribosomal RNA, 421 nt
Filed under: uncultured bacterium
Lineage: Bacteria
Description: bacterial SSU rRNA
Rfam family: Bacterial small subunit ribosomal RNA
Source: RNAcentral
CUGGUCUGAGAGGAUGAUCAGACCACACUGGAACUGAGACAACGGGUCCAGACUCCUACGGGAGGCAGCAGUGGGGAAUAUUGCGCAAUGGGCGAAAGCCUGACGCAGCCACGCCGCGUGAGCGAUGAAGGUCUUCGGAUCGUAAAGCUCUGUGGGGGGAGAAGAAGAAAGUCGGUGAAGAGCCGACCCUGACGGUAUCCCCUUAGCAAGCACCGGCUAACUCCGUGCCAGCAGCCGCGGUAAUACGGAGGGUGCAAACGUUGCUCGGAAUCAUUGGGCGUAAAGCGCGCGUAGGCGGCUGAACAAGUUGGAUGUGAAAGCCCUGGGCUCAACCUAGGAUGUGCAUUCAAAACUGUUCGGCUUGAGUCUCGGAGGGGGUCAGAGAAUUCUCGGUGUAGAGGUGAAAUUCGUAGAUAUCGGG